CCUGUCCUAUCAACGGAGGGUGGACUAUAUAAGAAUCAACGAAGCUGUCACUAUCGCGAACUACCACACGACUCGGUCAAUAGGAUACAUUUGUAGAUAAAUAACAUCUAAGCACCACGCUCACAUGUGAUCUAUCACCUAACUCCCUCGCGUCAAGAGCUAAGCGCUUUGCAAACUUAUACAUAAACUCAUUAUCAGUUAGAACUAUAUCAAAUAUAGAACUAGAGCAAACUAAGAGCAUAAUAAUUAGAGACAUAAUGCAAUUAGAACAAUAGAAUUAGAGAAAGAUAUGAAUAAUACCAAUCUUUAUUACCGAAAAUCCG
This 323-nucleotide long non-coding RNA is filed under the name Sorghum bicolor (sorghum). RNAcentral's name for it is "long non-coding RNA (SBIC_LNC008646)". The record is from RNAcentral. Lineage: Eukaryota; Viridiplantae; Streptophyta; Magnoliopsida; Poales; Poaceae.